CUUGUCUGUGGUUACGUUAAUCAAAAUCCUGAAACUUCUAACAGAGACAAGUCUACUUGUCUUUGCUUCUAAUUACUAAAACGGGUAUGUAUAUGGUGAGCAGCUUUUGAUGUAUGAUGACAAAUUGCUUGGAUUUGAGUGAAAUUUUGUCUAUUUAAAUUCGGCUCCGUUGUUUUCUGCGAACAGUUGAGUGAAAGAGUUACUAUGUUACAUAAUAAAGCAAUCUACUGUGGAAAA
Molecule: long non-coding RNA, 237 nt
Organism: Dendroctonus ponderosae (mountain pine beetle)
Lineage: Eukaryota; Metazoa; Arthropoda; Insecta; Coleoptera; Curculionidae
Exons: 2
Source: RefSeq, a predicted model, not a curated record